AGAUUGAACGCUGGCGGCAGGCCUAACACAUGCAAGUCGAGCGGCAGCACGGGUACUUGUACCUGGUGGCGAGCGGCGGACGGGUGAGUAAUGCCUAGGAAUCUGCCUGGUAGUGGGGGAUAACGCUCGGAAACGGACGCUAAUACCGCAUACGUCCUACGGGAGAAAGGCAGGGGACCUUCGGGCCUUGCGCUAUCAGAUGAGCCUAGGUCGGAUUAGCUAGGUUGGUGAGGUAAUGGCUCACCAAGGCGACGAUCCGUAACUGGUCUGAGAGGAUGAUCAGUCACACUGGAACUGAGACACGGUCCAGACUCCGUACGGGAGCAGCAGGUGGGAAUAUGGAACAAGUGGGACGAAAGCCUGACUCCAGCCAGUCGCCGCGUGU
RNAcentral lists this ribosomal RNA (385 nucleotides) under uncultured soil bacterium. RNAcentral describes it as "bacterial SSU rRNA". It matches the Rfam family "Bacterial small subunit ribosomal RNA", at positions 26 to 404 of the family's 1533-position model. The record is from RNAcentral.